Molecule: long non-coding RNA, 475 nt
Organism: Oncorhynchus tshawytscha (Chinook salmon)
Lineage: Eukaryota; Metazoa; Chordata; Actinopteri; Salmoniformes; Salmonidae
Source: Ensembl
UACAAAUUAAUCAGUGUGUGUGUGUGUGUGUGUGUGUGUGUGUGUGUGUGUGUGUGUGUGUGUGUGUGUGUGUGUGUGUGUGUGUGUGUGUGUGUGUGUGUGUGUGUGUGUGUGUGUGUGUGUUUGUCUAAGAAACAACUUCCUGCUAUGAAAAAGGGUGAAAGGUCACAAACCCGGGUUUGGGCAGAAUAGAAGCGUUGGUUUCUAUUAUUGAUGUUACUAUGUGGACCGGACUGGGUCUGUGUUUUUAUUUUAUUUACCACAACUAGAACCCGUGGAACCGUCUAGACGUGUUGUUUCCUUGUGAUGAGAUUGCUGUGGAACAGGAUUAUUAUUAUUAUUGUUAUUGUUAUUAUUAUUAUGCAUCUGAUCAUCUAUUACUCUAAAUGACGACGAGCAAUAAAGUUGAGAUCCUUUUUUCAAAUAUAUAUAUUGCAUGUUUUACUAAAAAACGUUGGUCUUAGUCAAUAAAAAG